Molecule: ribosomal RNA, 408 nt
Filed under: uncultured bacterium
Lineage: Bacteria
Description: bacterial SSU rRNA
Rfam family: Bacterial small subunit ribosomal RNA
Source: RNAcentral
AGCAGUGGGGAAUAUUGGACAAUGGGCGAAAGCCUGAUCCAGCCAUGCCGCGUGUGUGAAGAAGGUCUUCGGAUUGUAAAGCACUUUAAGUUGGGAGGAAGGGCAGUAAGCGAAUACCUUGCUGUUUUGACGUUACCGACAGAAUAAGCACCGGCUAACUCUGUGCCAGCAGCCGCGGUAAUACAGAGGGUGCAAGCGUUAAUCGGAAUUACUGGGCGUAAAGCGCGCGUAGGUGGUUUGUUAAGUUGAAUGUGAAAUCCCCGGGCUCAACCUGGGAACUGCAUCCAAAACUGGCAAGCUAGAGUAGGGCAGAGGGUGGUGGAAUUUCCUGUGUAGCGGUGAAAUGCGUAGAUAUAGGAAGGAACACCAGUGGCGAACGCGACCACCUGGGCUCAUACUGACACUGAG